GAUGAACGCUGGCGGCGUGCCUAAUACAUGCAAGUCGAGCGAACAGACGAGGAGCUUGCUCCUCUGACGUUAGCGGCGGACGGGUGAGUAACACGUGGAUAACCUACCUAUAAGACUGGGAUAACUUCGGGAAACCGGAGCUAAUACCGGAUAAUAUAUUGAACCGCAUGGUUCAAUAGUGAAAGACGGUUUUGCUGUCACUUAUAGAUGGAUCCGCGCCGCAUUAGCUAGUUGGUAAGGUAACGGCUUACCAAGGCAACGAUGCGUAGCCGACCUGAGAGGGUGAUCGGCCACACUGGAACUGAGACACGGUCCAGACUCCUACGGGAGGCAGCAGUAGGGAAUCUUCCGCAAUGGGCGAAAGCUUGACGGAGCAACGCCGCGUGAGUGAUGAAGGUCUUCGGAUCGUAAAACUCUGUUAUUAGGGAAGAACAAAAGUGGAAGUAACUAUGCACGUCUUGACGGUACCUAAUCAGAAAGCCACGGCUAACUACGUG
Molecule: ribosomal RNA, 497 nt
Filed under: uncultured bacterium
Lineage: Bacteria
Description: partial 16S ribosomal RNA
Rfam family: Bacterial small subunit ribosomal RNA
Source: RNAcentral